Molecule: long non-coding RNA, 1776 nt
Organism: Seriola aureovittata
Lineage: Eukaryota; Metazoa; Chordata; Actinopteri; Carangiformes; Carangidae
Exons: 2
Source: RefSeq, a predicted model, not a curated record
CCUCAAACACUCUCUCUGGUAGCCUGAAGCAUUCCUCAAAGAAAUUCACCAGGGACUGACUGAGGUGCUGCCGUGUGGCUUCGCUGUGAAUGAAGUGGCCUUCAUCUGGGUAGAUCUGAGACACAAAGAAUAAGGUUUUCAAGAUAACAAGCAAAAACCUCCUGCUACACAUACUUGAGCGCAUCCUUCUGAUCCUGCUCCUCGAACACACCCACUUUCUUCUGGAUCCGGUGAAGCAGGUUGGUGCCCUGGAAGCCGCUGCCCCGUCCAUCACAGCGCACCACGACGGCACCGAAGCUGCUCACCAGGACUGUGGCCCAGUCCAUGUGAAACCGUUCUGACACCAUCUGACCACCAGGUGUCCCAUCGCUGCAUGUGAAAAACCACAGACAAACCAGAUGAGUGAAGGCAAGGCUGCUACAUGAUUUUUUUCUUAUAUCCUAUUCAUUUUUAUUUUUAGUUAUGAGUUUGUGUCUUCAUUAUAUUAUCCCCUAAUCUGUCCAAACACUUCUUUUCACAGACAUUUGGGACAGAUUUGGAUGACUGUUAUGUACCAUGUGUAUCUGCGAGCUCGCAGGAUUCUCAGGAUAAAACCUUAAUUUGAAAAGUUUACUUCAUCCCAAAGCUAAUGUGGCACAAUGUUCACAGAUAAGAAGUCACGAUAAACAAGAAAAGCUUGGAUUUGAGCUAAAAGGAAGGGAAGGAAUACUAAUGAAAGAAUGAAGGUGGAAAGGAGGGUAAGUUUCCUCAUUUGCAGUGUAAUUAUUACCCAGCUAGAGUAGAGGACAAAGCAGCGCACCCUCUUGUUAGAUUAAUAAGCCUGAUUAAAAGUCUGUCCGGGAAAUCUCCACUGAUGAGGACGAGCAUGUCCUCGUAUAACUUGGAGAGGAAUGUGAGUCAGUGCUGCUAGAGCACACAAACUUUUUCUGUGUGUGUGUGUGUGUGUAAAAACAUGCGCUCAUACAUACACAAGCAGGAUGAGCGGGUAGUGUGAAGUGUCCACGAAGCCUGCGGGUUUGAGGAUCUGCAUCGACAAAGCUGUAAACCAGAUACACAACAGAUAUUUUUUUACUUUCUGUUUUUGCUACUAUGAUUCAUUACAAACUGUUAAAUUAUUUUUUUCACAAAAAAAAACAAACUGAUUUGAGUUGCAGAAAAUAAAUUGUGAUAUCACCUCGUUCUGGAGGAGUCUCACCUAGGCUGCUACAGUACUGAAAUUAUAAUCACAGCCUACUACAGUGGAAAUAAAAAGUAUUUGAACCCCUUGGAAGGAGCUGGUUUCAUUAACUGCUCAUAAAAUAUGAUAUGAUCUUUAUUGAACACAGCCAUUAAACACUCUAGGGCUAGUAAGUGAACCCUUGGAUUUAAUAACUGGUUGAACCUGCUUUAGCAGCAAUAACCUCAAACAUUAUCUUCCAGCAGAUCUGAAAUAUACUGGUGGUGGUGGUGGUGGGGGGUGUUGUUGACGUAGUGACUUGGUGUGACCAACAACAAAAUGUUUAUUUAAUAUUCCUGAGUGACAUAUUCCUCUUACCACACUGGGACCUGCUGCUUCAGCCUCUCCCUCAGCUGUCUCAUCUGACUUUCCCAUUCAAUAUCCACCCUGUCAGCGUCUUCUAACGUAAUACCACACGUCUCCCUCUAUCUCUCUUUCUGUUUGUCUUUGUGCAUUAGCAGAACCAAACAGUAUAUGGGAGCGAGUAAGGAAUUGUUAAUCAAUUCUGGAUUGCGACGUUCUGAUGGAUUUAAAAACAUAUAAAUAAAAUGUCAAAGUGA